GCCAAUGUGGCUCAGGGGUAGAGCAAUUCACUCGUAAUGAAUAGGUCGGGGGUCCGAUUCCCCCCAUUGGCUCCA
RNAcentral lists this transfer RNA (75 nucleotides) under Clostridia bacterium. Its description in RNAcentral is "tRNA-Thr". It matches the Rfam family "tRNA". Rfam says of the family: Transfer RNA (tRNA) molecules are approximately 80 nucleotides in length. Their secondary structure includes four short double-helical elements and three loops (D, anti-codon, and T loops). Lineage: Bacteria; Bacillati; Bacillota; Clostridia. The record is from RNAcentral.